This 3776-nucleotide unclassified non-coding RNA is filed under the name Leishmania donovani. RNAcentral's name for it is "gene:LdHU3.28.1750(CDS-product:phenylalanine-4-hy droxylase)". Lineage: Eukaryota; Euglenozoa; Kinetoplastea; Trypanosomatida; Trypanosomatidae. The record is from RNAcentral.
CAACUCUCCUCCCCCCUCCCCACCCGAUUUCGGCACUCAGUGCCCUCUUGCUUCGUGCGCGCACUGCAUCCCUAACGCGCAUUCCUCGCUCCUACAGCCUUCCUUCCUCUCCCCUUGCUUGCCUGUCUUGCCUCGAGAAUAACAUGCUGCUGCGCAGUCGUUUGUUCCUGGAGGCUGGCAUGGCCGCCGCCGCCACCCUGAAGGACCAGUACGCCUCCUCCGGGAGCAACAUCAAGGGCGCCGACAAGAAGACGCGGUGCCGCACGUCCCUGCAGGUGUCCCUCUCCACUGAUAAGCCUGGCGAGCUGUGUCACCUGCUGAGCGUCUUCAAGCCGUACAGCAUCAACAUCAGCCAGGUCGCCAACCGUCCUCGCGCGUACGAAAACAAGGCGCCGCUGCGCACCAUCUUCCUCGACGUGGACGCUUACAUUGAGGACGAAAGCAUGAAGAAGGUCAUGACGGAGCUGCACGCGAAAUUUCCGAAUGUAGUCGUAGCCGGAUCAUGGGUGAUUCCGUGGUAUCCGACGGAGCCCAAAGACCUCGACGAACUCGAUCAGAGCACGCUCGCUGCUGGCGAGGAGCUGCAAGAAGACCCGGAAAACCCCCACCCCGGCUUCCACGACGAGGUCUACCGCGCCCGCCGCCGCGAGAUUGUCGGGCUUGCCAAGAACUACAAAACCGGAGAUCAGAUCCCGAUUGUAAACUACACAGAAGAAGAGAACCGUGUGUGGACAGUUGUCUACGACCACCUGACCCGCCUGUACCCGACGCACGCGUGCCAACAGUACAACUACGUCUUCCCGCUGCUCCUCGAAAACGGUGUGCUGAGCCGCACACAAACGCCACAGCUGCGCGAUGUGAGCGAGUUCCUGAACGAGGCGACCGGUUUCACGGUACGCCCGGUGACGGGGCUGCUGACGUCGCGCGACUUCUUGAACGCCCUGGCGUUCCGCGUCUUUUACAGCACCCAGUACAUUCGCCACGCGGCUCAGCCGUUGUACACGCCGGAGCCGGACAUGGUGCAUGACAUCAUUGGUCACCUGCCCCUGCUCUCUGAUCCCGACUUCGCCAACUUCACCCAGACGAUCGGCCUCGCCUCCCUUGGCGCCAGCGAUGAGCUGCUGGACAAGCUGGCAAAGGUCUACUGGUAUAGCGUCGAGUUCGGCCUCUGCAGCGAGGGCGGCCGCCGCAAGGCCUACGGUGCUGGUAUUUUAUCGAGCUGUGGCGAGCUAGAGUACGCACUGAGCGACAAGCCGGAGUGCGUCCCGUGGGACCCCACAAUGGCGUCCAAAACGCCGUUCCCUAUCACCAAGUACCAGCCGCGGUACUUUGUGGCUGAAAGCUUCUCAGAUGCGCAGCGUAAGCUGGAGACGUGGCUCAGCUCGCAGGAGAAGCCGCUGUACACCGUCUACAACUCGUACUCGCGGCGCGUGCAGUCGUACCCGAAGAACACGUGGAACAUGCUCCAAGAGCAGAUGAAGCGAACAAACUUCACCUUCUAAUCAGACUGAGACGACGCUGCGCACAGACGCAAACACGUGCUCUUGCGCAAAGGGAGCCGAGGAGGCUCAGGUCCGUGGCCCGAGGACACGGGCACUUGCUGCUGCAAGACGUAAGAGGAUAAGGGUGAUGAGGGCACGCAUCAAGGCAGGUGCCACGCCAUCUCGUACGUGAGGGCUAGACGCUCACAUGCAAGCACGCAUGCAAGACGCGUGUGCUGUCGAUUAUGUGUUGUUGGACGGCUUCUCCGCUUGCGUGUUCCUCUCGUGUCCUUUUUCUUGUUGUCGUCUCCGGGUGAUCUCAGCCGCCGGCGAUGCUCGUCGUACUGACGUCUGUGUGUGUCGCGCACGCCACUGUGGUGCACACGAACGCAGAGUGUAUGUGCGUGUAUGUAUGGGGCGUAUUUCCAUGGUGCAGCUGCCGAUGCUUGUCCGCGGUCACUCCGGCUCUUCCCCUCGUCUCAUAUGGGUGUUUGUAUGCGUGUGUGUCUGUAUCUCCCUCACCGCAGGCGCCUCUUUGUUGUUUUCGUUUUCGUUGGUGGCCCACCCUCCCUCCCUUUCUCCUUCACACCGCCGCUCUGCCACUUCAUCCCGUGCCUCUUCACGGGCCGUCACACGCAGCCGACCAGGCGUUCGUGGAGGUCGUGGGAGGAGUGUUAGAAUACUGAUGAGCUUGACUGCAUGUAGCUUACCAGCGUCCUUGAGCAAGAAGAUGCUGUUUCCAAGUGGCUUUUAUUGCUUACUCGUGCGUUUUGCGCGCUGCUGCGAUGCAGGAAGAGACAAACGGCGAAGUGGCGCGGAUGCAUAAAACAAGUGCAAUGUAGGGGGUGGGAGGAGCGAGGCUGUGAUGGGAAAGUGGGCGUUUUAGUUUCUCGACGGUGCAUGCAAGCCGAAGACCCAGACAAGAUCUCCGUUGAUAUCCCCCCCCCCCCUACACCCCCCCUCCACUAUCCACACACACACAUACAUACUCUAGCGUCCCCUCUCCUCGUGCGUGCCUUCCGUUCUCUUCGGUGUCUGUCGCGAAACUAUGCAUCACCCGCCACAUCGCAUCUCACAGGCCCUCACCCGCUUUCACCCCCCCCCCAAAAAAAAAAAACGUUUUCUUAUUCGUCGCACUGCGCGUUCGAACGACCGGAAACGACAUAUUUUCUGUAUAUAGAAAAAAAGGAGGGGCGGGGACGAAUACGCCUUCCUUGUGCACCUCACUCCCUCCACCCCCGCCCCCGCUGAUACGUCUCCUCUUUUUUUUGCUCGUAAGUUUUUUAUUUGUGUGUGAUUUCAAACACCUGUGUGUGUGUUGUACUUCAGUUAAAGCUUUCCUUUUUUUUUUGCGGGGCGGCGCGAGGCCGGGGGUGCUGCUGUUUUUUUCGUGGUGGGGCUCAUGUGUACCUUCUCGCGUCAAUGUGGGUCCUUUGGUUUCCACGUUGCUUGUUUUCACUUUUCUGUUUUUUUUUCUUCUUUUUUUUCUGCAUUGGUUGUUGUGGCAUGGUCCUCUUCAUCGCAACACGUACGAUGAUGUCGAGGCCCACACACGCAACACGCGCGCACGCUGACAACACAUAAAAGGAAAGCAUGAGGCGUGUCAUGGGAAAAUUGUAAAGCACUAAAAAACCCUUUUUUGCUUGUUUUAGUUUGAAGAGAGGUGAAGGGCACCACCGAGGCGACCCGCAGUGCCCCUCCGUAUGUUGAAAGUGUGGUAAACCUGCAGCAACAACCACAGGAAAGCAGGUGUCGGCCCAUCCAGUCGGUCUCUCCAAGCCCGGCUGCCUUUGUUGCUCCUUGGGCGCUACAAGCAACGCAUAAGGGCGUCGUGUGCGCGCCGCAUGUAAAGCGGAGGGCGGAGGAGGUGCGCCAACACCUUUGCGGUGUUCUGAAUUCGUGCGUGUGCGUCUUGGUUUAUCUCUGUUGCACAGCCAUUCUCCGACGGAGUUACUUCCGCUGCACACGCGCCCACACAUCGCAUUGGAUCCUCUCAGCUUAGCAGCGAAAAGCAUGCCUAGUCUAGUAUAUUAAGCGAAGCAAGUAGUUAAUGCGCGUGCCUCGCUCGCUCGCACACGAAGCGGCCACCUAAGAGGAGCAACUUUACUCCUCGAAUCGGAAGGCGUGCGACAGGGAGCAGGGGGCGACAUAUUGAUCUCGCCAUAUUGUGUCUGUCACCGGCUGUGCCCCUCCUCCUCUACUUUUUUCUUCGCCCCCUUUCGCCUUCCAGCCGGCAGAUUAACGUUCUCUGUGCAAUAUUCCAGUAGCUAAAAAGUCUUCACGGUAUACAGCAUG